GAUGAACGCUGGCGGCGUGCCUAAUACAUGCAAGUCGAGCGAACGGACGAGAAGCUUGCUUCUCUGAUGUUAGCGGCGGACGGGUGAGUAACACGUGGAUAACCUACCUAUAAGACUGGGAUAACUUCGGGAAACCGGAGCUAAUACCGGAUAAUAUUUUGAACCGCAUGGUUCAAAAGUGAAAGACGGUCUUGCUGUCACUUAUAGAUGGAUCCGCGCUGCAUUAGCUAGUUGGUAAGGUAACGGCUUACCAAGGCAACGAUGCAUAGCCGACCUGAGAGGGUGAUCGGCCACACUGGAACUGAAACACGGUCCAGACUCCUACGAGAGGCAGCAGUAGGGAAUCUUCCGCAAUGGGCGAAAGCCUGACGGAGCAACGCCGCGUGAGUGAUGAAGGUCUUCGGAUCGUAAAACUCUGUUAUUAGGGAAGAACAUAUGUGUAAGUAACUGUGCACAUCUUGACGGUACCUAAUCAGAAAGCCACGGCUAACUACGUG
RNAcentral lists this ribosomal RNA (497 nucleotides) under uncultured bacterium. Its description in RNAcentral is "partial 16S ribosomal RNA". It matches the Rfam family "Bacterial small subunit ribosomal RNA", at positions 28 to 507 of the family's 1533-position model. The record is from RNAcentral.